UUUGGAUUGUUCGUCCUUUAAAACCUUACAUGAGUUGGGUUUAGAUCCUUGUGAAAGAGGUCGGUUUAUAUCUUCUAUAAUAUUAAUCUAUUAUUUUAUAUGAUUUAUGUACGCAAGGAUCAAAUCAUUAUAGUAAAAUAUAUAUUUAUAUAUAUGUAUAACUAUAACAAUACGAAUACUGAUUUAUGUUAUUAAGUUUACAAAUAUAUUGUAAUAAUAGAUUAUAGAU
RNAcentral lists this ribosomal RNA (229 nucleotides) under Euglena gracilis. RNAcentral's name for it is "partial large subunit (LSU) ribosomal RNA". The record is from RNAcentral. Lineage: Eukaryota; Euglenozoa; Euglenophyceae; Euglenales; Euglenaceae.